UACGAAGGGUGCUAGCGUUGUUCGGAAUCACUGGGCGUAAAGCGCGCGUAGGCGGCUAUUCAAGUCAGGGGUGAAAUCCUGGGGCUUAACCCCAGAACUGCCUUUGAAACUGUAUAGCUUGAGUGUCGGAGGGGAUAGCGGAAUUGCUAAUGUAGAGGUGAAAUUCGUAGAUAUUAGCAGGAACACCGGUGGCGAAGGCGGCUAUCUGGACGACAACUGACGCUGAGGCGCGAAAGCGUGGGGAUCAAACAGG
This 253-nucleotide ribosomal RNA is filed under the name uncultured bacterium. RNAcentral's name for it is "partial 16S ribosomal RNA". It matches the Rfam family "Bacterial small subunit ribosomal RNA", at positions 524 to 776 of the family's 1533-position model. The record is from RNAcentral.